AGUCGAACGAGAAUCUGCUGAAGGAGGAUUCGUCCAACGGAAGCAGAGGAAAGUGGCGGACGGGUGAGUAACGCGUGAGGAACCUGCCUUGAAGAGGGGGACAACAGUUGGAAACGACUGCUAAUACCGCAUGACGCAUAGAGGUCGCAUGAUCUUUAUGCCAAAGAUUUAUCGCUUCAAGAUGGCCUCGCGUCUGAUUAGCUGGUUGGCGGGGUAACGGCCCACCAAGGCGACGAUCAGUAGCCGGACUGAGAGGUUGAACGGCCACAUUGGGACUGAGAUACGGCCCAGACUCCUACGGGAGGCAGCAGUGGGGAAUAUUGGGCAAUGGGCGCAAGCCUGACCCAGCAACGCCGCGUGAAGGAAGAAGGCUUUCGGGUUGUAAACUUCUUUUAAGAGGGAAGAGCAGAAGACGGUACCUCUAGAAUAAGCCACGGCUAACUACGUGCCAGCAGCCGCGGUAAUACGUAGGUGGCAAGCGUUGUCCGGAUUUACUGGGUGUAAAGGGCGUGCAGCCGGGUCUGCAAGUCAGAUGUGAAAUCCAUGGGCUCAACCCAUGAACUGCAUUUGAAACUGUGGAUCUUGAGUGUCGGAGGGGCAAUCGGAAUUCCUAGUGUAGCGGUGAAAUGCGUAGAUAUUAGGAGGAACACCAGUGGCGAAGGCGGAUUGCUGGACGAUAACUGACGGUGAGGCGCGAAAGUGUGGGGAGCAAACAGGAUUAGAUACCCUGGUAGUCCACACUGUAAACGAUGAAUACUAGGUGUGCGGGGACUGACCCCCUGCGUGCCGCAGUAAACACAAUAAGUAUUCCACCUGGGGAGUACGAUCGCA
RNAcentral lists this ribosomal RNA (831 nucleotides) under uncultured bacterium. RNAcentral describes it as "bacterial SSU rRNA". It matches the Rfam family "Bacterial small subunit ribosomal RNA", at positions 60 to 890 of the family's 1533-position model. The record is from RNAcentral.